Molecule: ribosomal RNA, 771 nt
Filed under: uncultured bacterium
Lineage: Bacteria
Description: bacterial SSU rRNA
Rfam family: Bacterial small subunit ribosomal RNA
Source: RNAcentral
AGAGUUUGAUCCUGGCUCAGGACGAACGCUGGCGGCGUGCUUAACACAUGCAAGUCGAGCGGUAAGGCCCUUCGGGGUACACGAGCGGCGAACGGGUGAGUAACACGUGGGUGACCUGCCCUCAGCUCUGGGAUAAGCCUGGGAAACUGGGUCUAAUACCGGAUAUGACUUCGCAUCGCAUGGUGUGGGGUGGAAAGUUUUUCGGCUGGGGAUGGGCCCGCGGCCUAUCAGCUUGUUGGUGGGGUGAUGGCCUACCAAGGCGACGACGGGUAGCCGGCCUGAGAGGGCGACCGGCCACACUGGGACUGAGACACGGCCCAGACUCCUACGGGAGGCAGCAGUGGGGAAUAUUGCGCAAUGGGCGGAAGCCUGACGCAGCGACGCCGCGUGGGGGAUGACGGCCUUCGGGUUGUAAACCUCUUUCGACCCCGACGAAGGGUGACUGACGGUAGGGGUAGAAGAAGCACCGGCCAACUACGUGCCAGCAGCCGCGGUAACACGUAGGGUGCGAGCGUUGUCCGGAAUUAUUGGGCGUAAAGAGCUCGUAGGCGGUGUGUCGCGUCGGCCGUGAAAACCUGCAGCUUAACUGUGGGCUUGCGGUCGAUACGGGCAUCACUGGAGUUCGGCAGGGGAGACUGGAAUUCCUGGUGUAGCGGUGAAAUGCGCAGAUAUCAGGAGGAACACCGGUGGCGAAGGCGGGUCUCUGGGCCGAUACUGACGCUGAGGAGCGAAAGCGUGGGGAGCGAACAGGAUUAGAUACCCUAGUAGUCC